This is a long non-coding RNA of Triplophysa dalaica, 426 nucleotides long. RefSeq lists it as uncharacterized. NCBI's taxonomy places the organism in Eukaryota, Metazoa, Chordata, Actinopteri, Cypriniformes, Nemacheilidae. The record is from RefSeq and is a predicted model, not a curated record. The transcript is spliced from 3 exons.
GUAGAAACGAAACUUAUGGCUGGUCUGUGUUAACCUUCCAAGAAAUGACGAAGCGAAAGAUGGGAGUGUUGUGGAAAGCGCCAAUUUAAAUGGUGGAGGACUCCGAUUUCAAAUCAACAGGAGCAAGAUGUAGUAGGUGUUUACUGGAGCAGUUCUGCCAUCCUCUGGUCUCAUCUUUCUGUCAAUGGCCAUCAUUCCCCUGUACACUUCUUACUGGACGUUCAGGGUUCCAUCCUCCCAGCUAUUCGGAUUCAUCAACAGGUCAUCUUCUUCUUUCAUGCUGUUUAGCAGUUAUUCUGAGGAACUGUAUUUCUACGCCAGCGUACAGGCGCCAUCUUGCAGUUCUGAAUCCAGCUCUCAGAGGAAGAUGAAGGCACUACUCGACUACCAGUCCUUAAGAUAACACGAUAAUAUUCAGGAUUGUAA